AAAGCGGGGGAUCGUAAGACCUCGCGUUAUUGGAGCGGCCGAUGUCGGAUUAGCUAGUUGGUGAGGUAAAGGCUCACCAAGGCGACGAUCCGUAGCUGGUCUGAGAGGACGACCAGCCACACUGGGACUGAGACACGGCCCAGACUCCUACGGGAGGCAGCAGUGGGGAAUUUUGGACAAUGGGGGAAACCCUGAUCCAGCCAUUCCGCGUGAGUGAAGAAGGCCUUCGGGUUGUAAAGCUCUUUCGGCAGGAACGAAACGGUGGGGCUAAUAUCCCCUGCUAAUGACGGUACCUGCAGAAGAAGCACCGGCUAACUACGUG
Molecule: ribosomal RNA, 322 nt
Filed under: uncultured bacterium
Lineage: Bacteria
Description: bacterial SSU rRNA
Rfam family: Bacterial small subunit ribosomal RNA
Source: RNAcentral